AAUCUAUUCUAUUUGUCAUUUAGCUUGUUUAAUCUGUGCUGAAUAAAGUGCACAAUAUUUAAGCAGGAUAUGGUUGCACGCGGAUUUUUAGAGAGUUAAAUCUUUUGGCCAAUAGAAAACGUCAUAAUAGUUAUUAUAUGAACUGGGAUUGGUCAAUGACUUUUGAAAUUAAAAUCCGAUGGCCUGAAAAAAUCGGUUUUCCAACAAACGUCAGUUACGCGCAAGGAGGUUUAGCUAUUUAUCCAUCGAAGUUAAUAAGGGAGAAGACAUAAGACUAAUUUUAUUAUUUGCCUGCCGCGACCCGGUUUUUACGAACAAUGACGAUGACGAACGAUGAACCAGUAACGAGGAGCACACUUAGCAAUGCUUCCAGGUUGCGCCUCGGUAUCAAUUAAGUAACAUUUUCCGUUAAGUUUACUUUAUGGCCAACUAAAGGACUUUUGCCGUCUCCAUGGACAAACUCGAAGUAUGAUAACUACAGUCAUUGUCAAAAUUUUGCACUGCCAUUGCCGCUGGAUACCAUAUAUCGCUACUAUAUUCAUAGAUAAUAGACUUUCAGUUAAUCGUCAAAAUUGACAUUGUUUUUUAAAUAACAACAAAUGGUAUGAAUUUUUAAAUGUGAUAUUUUUAUAAAGGUAAGUCCCCAAAACAACAUUUGAUAGCCUAUUUUCUUUCGUUGGCAUCUAAGUUCCUGUUUUCUACAUAUAUGUUACUACUACCUAUUGGAUAAGUAACUAAGAACUUUGUCGUUUAUUCCAUGUGAACAAAAUCCCUAAAAGCCCAUUUGUAAUAAUAUUCUUACUAAACACUGCUGAAAAAGGACUAAACUUCUGAGCUAUGAACGUAUAAUCCAGUAGCAUUAAGUAGGUAGGUACGUAUAGCGACGUUGGAACUUGAUAUAGAAGUUAGCUGUUUUAUAUUUUUUUUCACAGCAGAAAUCUUUAUCUUUGAUCUUAAUAUCUGAUCGUACGUAUUGUCUUUUAAAAUAUUACAUUUGCCUAAAUAAAAAUAACCGACCUGCUGCUUAUGUAAAUUAUAAUUAUUUAUAACCCUACUUACAAUGCAUAACAAUCAUAAUUAGGUAUUAUAACCCUACUUAACAAUGCAUAACAAUCAUAAGAUAGUUUGGCGUAUAAGUAGGUAGGUAGGUACUAUCUAGGCCGAAGGUGGAAGCGAUCGACCCGGAAAUAUUCUCAACCAUCUCAACUAUCAUAAUAUGUAUUUAGAACAGUCCCUCCUUACCAAUGAUAUUAUAGAUACCAUUGCUCCUUACCAUCAAUGCAAUCGAGCAGACAAAGGACAUUGAUAAAAAUCGCCCUAAGAUUUUCAAAGACUUAGUAUGUACCAUAAUUUUAUGUAUAUUUUAUUUAUUUACUUGCAAGUGUCCAAACCUAUCGGACAAGUUGCAGUUCGAAAAAAUAUUUUAAAAGUAUUUAAACGAAAUCAAAGUCACCGACAUAUUGACAGAGCAGAGACAGAGAUGCGCUUUUUUAAUUCGAUUUAAGUAAAUAAUGGUAUGAUCGAUUAGACUAGAGUCUAAUCAUUAGACCUUUAGACGGGCGCAGAUCCGCCGCGCCCGCAGCGCUUCAGUGGAUUAUUGCAUUUUUUUAUGUAUAUUUAAUCACAUUUAUUUACCUACAUUUACAUAUUUACUCUUUUCUUUAAGUGUAGACACUGUUUAUGUAUAAGUCCACUAUUGCAUGCCGUGGCAACCUAUAAUUAAGGCAGCACUUAGAUUAAGUUAAAUACGUUGUAAAUAUUGAUUGUCUUCCAGUGUAUGUCUUGUUGGUUGUCCUAUUAAAUAAAUAAAAUAAAUAUUUAUAGCAACACAAUGUUUAAAAAUAAAAUUUUUCAAAAACGAUCAAUUUAAUCGAUUAUGUCUAUUCUAAAUGGACAUCCCUAUUUGUUAGUCAAAUUGUCAUUCACUCGCAUCACCUUUUCUCUCUCACUCACUCUUGCUGUGUUGCUGUCUUGCUUGAUCCUUCUUUGUGAUUCGUUUGUGUUUUAGCUUUUAUUUUCGGAACUUUAUUAACUACAAACUUGGCUAUUCAAACGGACUCUGAUUGAUUGCAAUAACGACAUACUCAGCCUGGGAUUUACUGUUUUUGUGUGGCUCGGCCAAGGCUCGGCUGGUGGUUCUAUGGUGUUAGAAAAUGAGCAACUUAAUUAUACACAACAAUGGGCAGCACCUCGAUCGGUUACAGCUCAUGAUCUUAUAUGCACAACAUGUUGGACCCAAGCCCAAGAUACAACACAAAUGCAUCUACUUCAAAUCUUAGCAGAAAAUGUGUGCUUUGCAGUAGAACACUAGAGCCUAGAACACGUUCACAUCAGCUCAUGUCCCUGAGAACUAACACUCAACAUCAUAUUAACAUCAGGAACAUAAUUGUGGAACGACUAACUCCAUUAGAGGUUACUGCAAAUGACUACAUCUGUGGGGCUUGUCACUCAUUAUUGCAAAGAGAUACCACACCUACUUCACAAGACUCUCCAGAUAUGCCAACCGGUGCCCCGGUAGGUCACCAACAAGUUUGUGUUGGAUGUGGUUGUUCAUUAUUGCGAACUUGAAGUCAUUGUUUGGAUACAGAGAAUAAUCAAGAUAUAUUAAACAUUGU
Long non-coding RNA from Ostrinia furnacalis (Asian corn borer), 2615 nucleotides. RefSeq lists it as uncharacterized. The record is from RefSeq and is a predicted model, not a curated record. Lineage: Eukaryota; Metazoa; Arthropoda; Insecta; Lepidoptera; Crambidae. The transcript has 3 exons.